GUUUUAAUAGUUUAAAUAAAAACUUUGGUCUUGUAAACCAAUAAUGAAUAAAUUUUUCUUAAAACU
Molecule: transfer RNA, 66 nt
Filed under: Myomenippe fornasinii
Lineage: Eukaryota; Metazoa; Arthropoda; Malacostraca; Decapoda; Menippidae
Description: tRNA-Thr
Rfam family: tRNA
About the family: Transfer RNA (tRNA) molecules are approximately 80 nucleotides in length.
Source: RNAcentral